RNAcentral lists this ribosomal RNA (468 nucleotides) under uncultured bacterium. RNAcentral's name for it is "partial 16S ribosomal RNA". It matches the Rfam family "Bacterial small subunit ribosomal RNA", at positions 28 to 507 of the family's 1533-position model. The record is from RNAcentral.
GACGAACGCUGGCGGCGUGCUUAACACAUGCAAGUCGAACGGAAAGGCCCUGCUUUUGUGGGGUGCUCGAGUGGCGAACGGGUGAGUAACACGUGAGUAACCUGCCCUUGACUUUGGGAUAACUUCAGGAAACUGGGGCUAAUACCGGAUAGGAGCUCCUGCUGCAUGGUGGGGGUUGGAAAGUUUCGGCGGUUGGGGAUGGACUCGCGGCUUAUCAGCUUGUUGGUGGGGUAGUGGCUUACCAAGGCUUUGACGGGUAGCCGGCCUGAGAGGGUGACCGGCCACAUUGGGGCUGAGAUACGGCCCAGACUCCUACGGGAGGCAGCAGUGGGGAAUGUUGCACAAUGGGCGGAAGCCUGAUGCAGCAACGCCGCGUGCGGGAUGACGGCCUUCGGGUUGUAAGCCGCUUUCGCCUGUGACGAAGCGUGAGUGACGGUAAUGGGUAAAGAAGCACCGGCUAACUACGUG